This 517-nucleotide unclassified non-coding RNA is filed under the name Hevea brasiliensis (rubber tree). The record is from RNAcentral. Lineage: Eukaryota; Viridiplantae; Streptophyta; Magnoliopsida; Malpighiales; Euphorbiaceae.
AUGUAGGUUUGAGUUCCAAGCUUCCCAGUCCUGAUCAACAUAGUUUUGAGCCCAUAACAAGGAUUCCCUUGCUGCUAAAGGCGCUCCAGGUAAUUUCCUCUCCUUGAGGGCAACCAGCAUAUCAGUGAAUGGCUCCACCAAUAAUGUUCCAGGUCCUCCAUACUCCUUGUGCAAGAAGUCGCUAAAUAUCUCCGAGCAAACGUCAACUACUUUAUCAAGUUCAUCACGGAAUGUUUCCUUGUCCUUUGACAGUUUCUUGUAGAGCUCAGCCCUAAACUUCAGGGUCUCAGAUUUUGCGAAUUCGGGAAUGGGGUCCGGGUAAAUGUACUUCUGGUGAGGGGCAUUGGCUGCAAGACGGUUUCUAGAGAUGGAUUUUGCAGAGAGGAUUGGGAUGGAGAGAGCAGGAGGAUGGAGGAUUAGGGAAGCAUUGGCAUUGCGAAGGACAGGAGUGAUUGAGGUUGAAAUUUUGGCGGGACGGAGCAGAGGCAAAGGGAGAGCGUAUAGACGGGCCAUGUGC